GACUGCUGCUGAGAUCGCUAUGCAGAAGUUGCUCUAUAAAAAGCUUGCAGCAAACAUUAUUUUCUGGUGGUAUGAUGAAAUAAAUCCAGGGGACAUUUGCAGGAGAGUUUUCAGAAAUUCCUUCAGGCAAUGACUGUGGAAGAGAGGCUGCAAUCUGCCUUCAUGGGAAGCUUAUACAGAUGUAAGGCAUCACAGUGGUGACAUUCUCACUGAAGUCUUCUCAGAUGACAUAAUUCAUAGAUUAAUCUCCAGUGAAAGCUCCUGAAGAAUUGAUGCAUCCUAGUUCCCAGUGAUGUGAGUCUGGGGAGUCACACUGGAUCACCUGCAUACAUAUAGGUUUAAAAAGAAGCCUGAUGUCAGCCUGACAGCCUCUGUUACCCCAGCCAUCCUGCCCCUACUUUGUGAUGAACUAAAAGGAGCUCACAUUCUUUAAGUUUUCUGGAACUCUCCCUUGUCCAUGGGUUACUGAAAAAUCAACAUCAGCUGCCAAAAAAGCUCCUCAGCCAGCUGCUUCAAAAUUCCUCAAUGCAAAUUACCCAGAACUUCUGAUUUAAGUAUGUCUAACUACAGUAGCUGUUGAUUA
Molecule: long non-coding RNA, 583 nt
Organism: Pezoporus flaviventris
Lineage: Eukaryota; Metazoa; Chordata; Aves; Psittaciformes; Psittacidae
Exons: 3
Source: RefSeq, a predicted model, not a curated record